This 762-nucleotide ribosomal RNA is filed under the name uncultured Oribacterium sp. RNAcentral's name for it is "bacterial SSU rRNA". It matches the Rfam family "Bacterial small subunit ribosomal RNA", at positions 28 to 776 of the family's 1533-position model. The record is from RNAcentral. Lineage: Bacteria; Bacillati; Bacillota; Clostridia; Lachnospirales; Lachnospiraceae.
GAUGAACGCUGGCGGCGUGCCUAACACAUGCAAGUCGAGCGAGGGUUUGCUCAGUAUUGAGUAUUCUAAAACUAGAAUGUUCAAUUCUGAGCAAAACCAAGCGGCGGACGGGUGAGUAACACGUGGGCAACCUGGCUCAUAGAGGGGGAUAACAGAGAGAAAUUUCUGCUAAUACCGCAUAAGCACACACUGCCGCAUGGCAGGGGGUGAAAAGAGAAUCGCUAUGAGAUGGACCCGCGUCUGAUUAGCCAGUUGGCAGGGUAAGAGCCUACCAAAGCGACGAUCAGUAGCCGAUCUGAGAGGAUGAACGGCCACAUUGGGACUGAGACACGGCCCAAACUCCUACGGGAGGCAGCAGUGGGGGAUAUUGCACAAUGGGGGGAACCCUGAUGCAGCGACGCCGCGUGAGUGAAGAAGUAUUUCGGUAUGUAAAGCUCUAUCAGCAGGGAAGACAAUGACAGUACCUGAAUAAGAAGCCCCGGCUAACUACGUGCCAGCAGCCGCGGUAAUACGUAGGGGGCAAGCGUUAUCCGGAUUUACUGGGUGUAAAGGGAGCGUAGACGGAAUGGCAAGUCUGAAGUGAAAUGCCCGGGCUCAACCCGGGAACUGCUUUGGAAACUGUCGAUCUGGAGUGUUGGAGAGGUAAGUGGAAUUCCUGGUGUAGCGGUGAAAUGCGUAGAGAUCAGGAAGAACACCGGAGGCGAAGGCGGCUUACUGGACAAAGACUGACGUUGAGGCUCGAAAGCGUGGGAAGCAAACAGG